RNAcentral lists this ribosomal RNA (589 nucleotides) under Nostoc sp. 'Peltigera praetextata cyanobiont'. RNAcentral describes it as "bacterial SSU rRNA". It matches the Rfam family "Bacterial small subunit ribosomal RNA", at positions 133 to 754 of the family's 1533-position model. Lineage: Bacteria; Bacillati; Cyanobacteriota; Cyanophyceae; Nostocales; Nostocaceae. The record is from RNAcentral.
CAGGUCUGGGACAACCACUGGAAACGGUGGCUAAUACCGGAUGUGCCGAGAGGUGAAAGGUUAACUGCCUGAAGAUGAGCUCGCGUCUGAUUAGCUAGUAGGUAGUGUAAAGGACUACCUAGGCGACGAUCAGUAGCUGGUCUGAGAGGACGAUCAGCCACACUGGGACUGAGACACGGCCCAGACUCCUACGGGAGGCAGCAGUGGGGAAUUUUCCGCAAUGGGCGAAAGCCUGACGGAGCAAUACCGCGUGAGGGAGGAAGGCUCUUGGGUCGUAAACCUCUUUUCUCAGGGAAGAACACAAUGACGGUACCUGAGGAAUAAGCAUCGGCUAACUCCGUGCCAGCAGCCGCGGUAAUACGGAGGAUGCAAGCGUUAUCCGGAAUGAUUGGGCGUAAAGCGUCCGCAGGUGGCUAUGUAAGUCUGCUGUUAAAGAGUCUAGCUCAACUAGAUAAGAGCAGUGGAAACUACAUGGCUAGAGUGCGUUCGGGGCAGAGGGAAUUCCUGGUGUAGCGGUGAAAUGCGUAGAGAUCAGGAAGAACACCGGUGGCGAAGGCGCUCUGCUAGGCCGCAACUGACACUGAGGGAC